AGGGCACCACCAGGAGUGGAGCCUGCGGCUUAAUUUGACUCAACACGGGAAAACUCACCCGGCCCGGACACUGGAAGGAUUGACAGAUUGAGAGCUCUUUCUUGAUUCAGUGGGUGGUGGUGCAUGGCCGUUCUUAGUUGGUGGAGCGAUUUGUCUGGUUAAUUCCGAUAACGAACGAGACUCUAGCCUACUAAAUAGAUCGUUGGCUUACAAACGCUAACGAGACUUCUUAGAGGGACAGGCGGUGAUUCAACCGCACGAAACAGAGCAAUAACAGGUCUGUGAUGCCCUUAGAUGUCCGGGGCCGCACGCGCGCUACACUGAAGUGAUCAGCGUGCAUUUCAAGCCUACUCUGUCAAGAGUGGGAAACCCAAUGAACCUUCUUCGUGAUUGGGAUAGGGGAUUGUAAUUAUUCCCCUUGAACGAGGAAUUCCCAGUAAGCGCGAGUCAUAAGCUCGCGUUGAUUACGUCCCUGCCCUUUGUACACACCGCCCGUCGCUACUACCGAUUGAAUGUUUU
This 519-nucleotide ribosomal RNA is filed under the name uncultured eukaryote. RNAcentral's name for it is "SSU rRNA". It matches the Rfam family "Eukaryotic small subunit ribosomal RNA", at positions 1161 to 1699 of the family's 1831-position model. The record is from RNAcentral.